Molecule: long non-coding RNA, 4429 nt
Filed under: Sus scrofa (pig)
Lineage: Eukaryota; Metazoa; Chordata; Mammalia; Artiodactyla; Suidae
Description: lncRNA (ENSSSCG00050026385.1)
Source: RNAcentral
ACCACUUUUUACCUGCCAAUCAUACCUCAAUAAAGUAAUUUGAAAAAAAAAUAGUAAUCUUCUAUUUUAAGAAUGUUUUGAACUCUGAAAUUCAUUCCUUAGGUAUAUCUAUCUCACUUUCAGCUGGUCACAGUCUUCACUUGAUUCACGACUUGAUCUUCCUUCAGCAAAGACAAACUCGUUUAUAUUGUUUCCCUUCCAAUUCUUUGUUCCCAGGAGACUUUGACCUAGUGAACCUCUGCUCUCAGCAGUCUUCUUCUUUUCCCAUGUGAUUCUCUGGUGUUCUGAGCCGAGAAAAGGCAGUAGAGAAGUACAAAGACCAGGGUGUACUGCUGUGAAGUCUGGGCUUUGGAUUUCAGACAACACACAGUUUGUUCUUUAAUUUCUGAGCCUGUGUGUGUGUGUGUGUGUAUGUGUGUAGUAGCCCAGUUUCCUGGUCUGUACGGGCUUGAUUAUCUGAGUCAAUGGGCUUAUGGUGGAAAGAUGUGGAAUCUUUUAUGUCUUUUCUCAGGCUGUUUCUUAUUUCAUGAUUUAAGGCCAGAGUUGGUUGUGAAUUGUAGCCUCUCUCUAUGGUUCUCUUUUUAAAUCUUGCUCCAUCAGCCUUAAAACUAAUAAUAAUAACAAUAAUAAUACUACUACUAAUAAUGACAUAUACUUUACUGAGGAAUCUCAACACACUGAAGCCAAAACAUGAAACUUUUUUUUGGUAAAUAAUCAUGCUCUGUUAACUGCUAUUUCCACCUCUGGGUGAUGGGUUCCUUGAUGAUAUUUUGCCCAAGUUCUACAACGUUUUCAGUCACUUCUGGUUGUUAAAACGUGUUAAUCAGGCUUGUUCAUGAUAAGUUUAAAUUUUCAAUUUUACAUUAAAUUUCCCAUCCCCACCCAAGUACUUUCCAUCUCUAUCCCUACCUCAAAUCAAGUGGUAGAUGGGACUUCAGAGCUGCUUCCUCUCCAGAGACUUGAGUGGGAAAGGACAGGCCAAAGGACAAGAGCCAAGUUCUUCCACUGUUGCUUGUUCCUGCCUCUGGCUGCCAUUAGCAGGCUGUCUACACCUUUCCGUGGUCAAUUUCCCCUUGGUGGUCACUGAUGGUCUCUUUGGAGGAAGCUGGGAGAGAAAAGACUCUCCUCUGCAGAGCCAUGGAUUCGAAGGAUCAGGCUUCAGCUUGGCCUCUUUCCACCCUUCUGAGUCCAAUGAAAGACAGUAUCAGCAGUCUCCGUAGAUGGAAUGCUUUUUCCUGGUGAUGAGGCUUCUUGUUGAGAUAUAGAUGAAAUGUUCACCCAACCAAGGAAAUUUUUGUAUUCUCACUCUGAACAAAUUGGGUUUUAGCAGUUUCUCAGCCACUUUUUCCCUCAAUUCCACCAUCUCUUUCCCACUCAUUUCUCUGAGCCCAAGGAAUGCAUUGGAUACUCAGCUUGAGAUAGGCUAGCACUUGGGACCUGGGACCCUUUGCUUCAGUGGCUGCAGUGCUUGCAGUGCUUGCACUUGGACAAACAUCUCCUUGAGCAACAAAAUACAAAGAAAACUAUAAGGGACUAAAGAUAACUGUGUGCAUGCACACUAAGCCACUCUUCUGGACCAGCCUGGACCAGCCCCUAUCCUCACCCCAUAUAAGGAACCAGUGAGCAAGUGACCAAGAGAACCUGCUUAUUUUCACGCCCCUCUGUUACAGCAGAACAUCCCCAAAUGAAGCCUUGCCUGAAUUUCUUAUCUGGCCUCUUAUCGAUUUCUGUUGAUUAAGGAAGACCAAGAGCCCAGGCUGGUAACAAGCUGACCUGGUGCCUCAUCAAUCUUCAGGGAAAGAAUGAUCAGUAAUCUCUUGGUUAAUGAAAAAUGGGGGUGUUGGAAACCCCCAAGCUUAGUUAGAAUUUUUCUUAGGAUCUCCCCCUUAGCUUCUUGGAGAAGAAACACCAGCUAUCUUCCCCAUGGGGAAGGGAGGGUUAUUAUAGUCUCUUUUUCUGAAUAUUCACUCAGAGGCUGCACUUCUCUGCCUGUUCUUCCUUUAUAUCAUUUGGGGAGUUGGGGCCGGAGGUGGAGGAGACUAAAACCAGCACCUCUCAGUAAACCUGGAACAUUUUUGACAUUACACAUUUGCUACAAUUCCAGGACAAGGAGGAAAAUCUUGUUUUACAAUGACAACAGUAAUAACCAUGAAACCACACUACUCAGGCUAACAUUUACUAUUUACUCUGUGCCAUGCAUGGUGCUGAGGGCUUCUCUUAUCCUCAGGGCAAGCCUGUGAGAUUGUCCCCAUUAUGUCCUCUUUGUAGGUGGGGAAAAUUAAGAUUACUCAACUAUUAAAUGUUAGAGCCAAAGUUCAGACCUAGAGUCUGCAUUUUUAACCAAUUUUCCUCAUUGUGCAUGUCUCAGUGAUGCUAUUGGGAGUUUCCCUCUUCAGUGUAUCUUCAUAGGUAUGGACUAGAGAAAUUGCAGGGGAGCACUGGCACUGUUAGAAGCCAUUUUCAACCAGAAAUCUCAUUUUCCCCUUGGAUUCUGUGAUUCAGGCAUAGAUAAUAAAUACGGUUUAGCAGAGGUUAAUAAAACACUCACUGACUUACUGCCAACUUCACUCUAGGCCCGUGUUUUUUUUUGUUGUUUUUUUUUUUUAGGGAAUAACUACCUCUUUGGGAAUUAAUUUUCCCAUGUGGAUUUGAAUUAAUUCCCUCAGGCCACAGAACUGUAAUCUGGAAGAGUUCAUUUAGCAAAUGGCACCCAGCGUUUCUCACCCUGGUUUGCCAAAGACACUGUGAGGCUUUGUUUGAACACAGGCAAUGGUACUGGACGGCAGAUGUUUGCAAAUACCAUUUGUUUAAUUGCUCAGGCACUUUAUAAUAUAUUUUUCUCCUAAGCUGUGGGAAACACAUCCUUUAUCAGCUUUAAAACAGAGUGCAACUUUGGAGAGCCAUUCUGCCUGCCUUUUUUCCUUGUGCAUUGGUCCAGACAGAUCGAAUGAACAAAAAGAAGAGAAAGGGGAAGCCGUUGGCAGUUACUCUCCUCUUUGCCUCUUUGUAGCAGCAUCAGCAAUAUAGAAAUGAGUACCUUUUCCCAUCCUGCUCCCUCCCCUCUAAGGAGCCACCACCCAACAGACUAGCAGUCACAGCUAAGAAGCUGAAAAGAUGAAAAUACCGUCGAGGAGGAGGCUCACAUGGCAGUCGCCCUGUGAGCUGUAAGUAUGACAACUUACAGCAUCUACAGUUAGUGCCUGACUUUGGGAAUUUCAUAGGGACCCGGCAUUGCCCAUGGCUGGUGCAAGCACUAAGGCAAGGUUCCCAGGUACACAAUUAGUGCCUGGCAUGGCCUUUCCCUCUGUGCACCAUGACUUCAGUCUCUACGGGGGCUAUAGAGUCCCUGGCAAUUGCACCUUAGAGAACAUGGCUGUGCCAUAAGUUGGUCCAGGUUUCAGGAUAUUUGGAGAAAAAAUGUUUUCCAGUGUUAGGAAUCAACAUGAAAGAGACAUUUUGGGCAGUUAUUCUAAAGAGGAUGGAUGAAAAAUACAAUACCACAGGAUGGAAAUGAAUUUGCACCUUAAGAUCACAACUUUGGCUUUCAUACCACAUUCCACUAAUAAUUAGAGGAGAGAAAACUACAGCCUCUGGGAGGAAAAAUACUCAGGUCAUUUCCAACUCAGUUGCCAAGUUUCUGGAAAUAGCUCAAUGCACCUGGCCACACAUGGCUCUUAUCUUGUAGAUAAACAAGACAGCUUCCUCACAGUGACACAGUAUUGAGUGUUCUCAUGUUAAAUGCUUCAUUUCAAAGCAUUCAUCUCAUCUUUUCCAACAGAUUACAACAAAAGGACAACAUUCUUCUGUUUUCCUUUAUUAUUUUUUUUUUUGCAAGCUGCUGUCUCUGUAAUAUGUUAGAUGGUCAUAUUAAAACAGACCCUUUCAAAAACACUCUGUCAACAUUGGAGUAUUUGAAGGGGAUAUACAAACUUCCAUUUUAUAAGCUGUGUGGGUGUGGUAACUUUUGCAUACUCUGGCAUAAAACCAGGUUAUGCAAAGAAGAGAUUCUGAUUCUGCAUGGUCCAGACUUACUUCUGACAUCAGAAGACACAGACACACAAAAACACACACAGACACACACACACUAAAAUAACAUGGUUAGGAAAUCAAUCCUUAGUUCUCUCAUUGAGGUAUCAUGACCUAUGCUUCUCGGGGGGAUAUGGAAGUCUCCUUUUUUAUGAUUUUGACAUACAGCUAGCUGCCUUCAGAUGGGUUUGUAGUUUCUCUUCCUGUCCAUGGCCAAAACUCAGGAAACUGACAAAAUAUUCAUUGCUUACUGACCCAAACUCCCUUCUUUGGGCCCUUAACAACUUGAGAUGCCUGUUUGCCCUAUUCUCAAGUGUUUUUUUAUUGAGAAAGUUGUAAUAUGUGAAAGAGUCACUUCAUUCAUUUUUAAUAUUAUUUUUAAUGAAACUACAUUAUAGAAGAU